UCAUAUAGCAGGUUUGUGAUAUGAGCCAGUCACGACUCAAGAUGCAGGUCUAUUGCGACCUUUAACCAGCCGCCUCGGCAGUACUAUCAAUGAACGCUGCAUUAAUUAAAUGUUGCUUUUGGUUCGGAAGCUUAAGAUAAUGUUUACUUCUUAAAGGAGAUAGUUUUGUGUACUUGUAUACCUUCAAUCCGUCAUCUAUGAACACCACGACUAUCAGUACCUGAAACUGUUGGCGACACUCUUAACUGACUUGUUGGAUAUAAAUGAACCAAACAGUAGUUGUUUCUCAUCGAACAAUCUUUGAAAAAAUCAGUCCUUCAAGAUAAUGGAUUUUCUAUAGCAGUUCCUUGUUCAAAGUCUGCAUGAAACAGAUUUUAAAUGAACUAAUCAUUUGGUGAUCCAACACUCCGAGGUUGAAGGAAGAGGAGCUUUUCACCAACUUCUAGGAGGCUUCACAUUGACAAUAGGGAACCCAGUCGCUCAUGUAAAGGACAGUAUCGAUGUAAACAACUUCAAGGAGGUGUUUGACCAUAUUUUGCUCCAAGAUUUCAUAUUGAAUA
Long non-coding RNA from Lytechinus pictus (painted urchin), 560 nucleotides. RefSeq lists it as uncharacterized. NCBI's taxonomy places the organism in Eukaryota, Metazoa, Echinodermata, Echinoidea, Temnopleuroida, Toxopneustidae. The record is from RefSeq and is a predicted model, not a curated record. The transcript has 3 exons.